UUAGUUGAUCCACUUCAGGUUCAUGACCCUCGGCUUGGAAAGUAGAACUUGCAGCACCUUGUCCUUCUGCAAGACUUGGAGUUGCAGAGGAAUCAGCAGCUGCAGGUUGAAAAGUAUUUCAUUAGAAAAUUGUGAUGGAGCUGUUUCUGGUUGAGCAAGGAGCGAAGACUCUUUUCCAAAAGUGGCCUUGGGGUUUUAACAUAUUUCUCUCCAUCAAGUUUAUACCCCAUUUUAGGCAAACUCUCAAGGUGAGCAAAUAGCAUUUCAUCUCCAGCCAUGUGCCUUGAGCAACCACUGUCCAUAUACCAAAGCUGUUUCCCCUUUAGUUGAGCUCUUGAACAUGUGACUUUUGAGUGCAGCUCAAUCUACAAAACAAAUAUUCAGUUUUUCUUAAUAGGUACCCAUACCUUGAUGGGUCCUUGAUUAU
Molecule: non-coding RNA, 427 nt
Organism: Theobroma cacao (cacao)
Lineage: Eukaryota; Viridiplantae; Streptophyta; Magnoliopsida; Malvales; Malvaceae
Source: RefSeq, a predicted model, not a curated record